Molecule: ribosomal RNA, 450 nt
Filed under: uncultured bacterium
Lineage: Bacteria
Description: partial 16S ribosomal RNA
Rfam family: Bacterial small subunit ribosomal RNA
Source: RNAcentral
GUGGGGAAUAUUGGACAAUGGGCGAAAGCCUGAUCCAGCCAUGCCGCGUGUGUGAAGAAGGUCUUCGGAUUGUAAAGCACUUUAAGUUGGGAGGAAGGGCAGUAAGUUAAUACCUUGCUGUUUUGACGUUACCGACAGAAUAAGCACCGGCUAACUUCGUGCCAGCAGCCGCGGUAAUACGAAGGGUGCAAGCGUUAAUCGGAAUUACUGGGCGUAAAGCGCGCGUAGGUGGUUUUGUAAGUUGGAGGUGAAAUCCCCUGGCUCAACCUGGGAACUGCCUCCAAAACUGCAUGACUAGAGUACGGUAGAGGGUAGUGGAAUUUCCUGUGUAGCGGUGAAAUGCGUAGAUAUAGGAAGGAACACCAGUGGCGAAGGCGACUACCUGGACUGAUACUGACACUGAGGUGCGAAAGCGUGGGGAGCAAACAGGAUUAGAUACCCCAGUAGUCC